AAUGGCUUUACUGGGAGCACCCCUCUUCCUCCACCCUCCUCUUCCUUGCAAUCCCCAGCUUUCCCCGGAGUGGGGUGGGGUGGAGGGGGUGGACUUAAUGAAACCAAAUGGAAACAUUCCAUUUGUAACAACAAAUAUUUUCCACCAGGACUUUUCUUACACUUAAAUGAACGACCUUGGAAUCCCUGGAAAUGGCUGUAGAGGAGGAGGCGGGGUUUCCCUUCUAGGAGUUUUGAAUUUUGCAGAAAGAUGGGCCCCUAGAGGCUGCCCAUGUGCUCCCUUAGCCCCGGCUGCCCCUUCAGGUGAGUCCCACCUACUGCCCCAUCUGCCUCAUCUCCCCUGUACCCAUACCUCUUGGCUCUGUGGGCCAGACCUCAUCCCUCGGAAACCUCCAGGGGAGAACAAAGGGCUCCUCCAACUCUGGCCAGGAAAGUCAGGAAAGGAUGCAUCUGUCUACCUUUGGAGCCCUCGAUUCAAAGACCCACCUGCCUGGAAGGGGCUGGAGAGGUGUGGAGAUGGGAGUUCCAAGUGCCAAGGGUCACCCGGUGCGGAGGCCUGAAUAAUAUUCCAUUUUAUGGAUUUACCACAUUUUGUUGAUCUGUUCACCUGUUGGGGACACUCGGGUCGCUUCCACCUUUUGGCUGUUGUGAACGAUGCUGCCGAGAACAUGAGUGCGCAAGUAUUUCUUCCAGAGCCUGCUUUCGAUUCCUUUGGGCAUGUACCUAGAGAUGGAAUCGCGGGGUCAUAGGCUCAUUCUAUUUUUACUUUUUUGAGGAGCUGCCACACUGUUUCCUGUAAUGGCCACAUCAUUUCACAUCCCCACUAACUUAGUGCACAAGAGUUCCAGUCUCUCAUCUUCACCAUCAUUCUUUUCUCCUCUUUCUUUUUCUGGGAGGAUAUGAGGUGGUCCUUUCACAGCUGGUAAAUUGAGGCCCAGAGAGGGUAGGGACUUUUCUGGAGGCCUCUGUGGGUCUGUGGUGCGUGUGCUCAGGGAAUCCACACUCCCAGCCUCUUUUGUUCCCGACUUAGGGCCUUGUCUUCCUGCAGGGAGUUUCAUGCCCCUCCUGAGACCUCAGCCUCUGAGCUGACCUGCAGCUGCAGGUGACGAUUCCUGGCAAGGUGUCCUUGGUUCACUCCAGCACCUGCCUCUGGACGCAUCCCUGCCCAGCCUGCUCAGGAACAUGCCAGGCAGUCUGUGUCAGCAGGUGACACCCUCAGCCACCAGGGGCCCGAGUGGGCCCAUGUGAGGGUCCUCAGUGGCUGAGCCCCACUUGCCUAGUGCACCUCUCUUGGUUUUCCGCCCCCACCCCCAUCUCCUCCUCGUCUUCACUUUCUCAUGUGAGCUUCCUGGGUUCACUACCUGCACCCACAUCCUCGUCUCAGGUUUUGCUCUGGGGGAGUCCAAACUGCAACAGGCCCCACUCUGACCCAGGAGCCACCCUUCAGGAACCCAUAGCUGGGUGAGGGCACACAGGGGUGCCAGUGCGAGACUUACUCUGACGAGGUGACCGAGCCUUGGGAGGUGGACCAGAGAGGGCAGGGGCACCUGUUAACUCUGCAUUCCUGAAGUUCUAGCCCUUCCCUUGGCCCUUAGAUCAGGGCAGGGCCAUCAGUUAAGGGGCCUCACCCCAUCUUGACCCGGGUGGGCACGUGGCCCAUGAUGAGGCAGAACUUGAGUCUUGGGUGGUGAUCCAGGGCCUGGGGAUGGUUACUGCCAAGCCCUCAGCGGAUGGGGGCCCUUCCUGAGGAGGAGACAUUGGGAUGGGUGUGUGGGGGAGGAGCUGCUGGCCAGGCCCUGGGAAGGGUUGUAUCAGGCCAAGGAGACCGCCUGAGCGAAGGCCAAAGGUGCGGUGAGCCCAGGAAGUAGGGGAGCGGGAGCGGGAACGGGGACGAGGGAGCUCACUGCAAGGGGGAGGGGAGGGGCUCGCCCAAGGCUGGGACAUCAGCAGGGCUGAAUCAGAAAGGCCCUGGGGACCCGUCAAGGAGUUGCCUAUGGUUGCUGUAAUAGCAAAUUGCCUCAAACAAAUGGGCUUAAGACAACACCAAUUUAUGACCUUACAGUUCUGCAGGUCUGAAGUCCACAGUGGAUUGGCAAGGCAGUGUUCCUUCUGGAAGCUCCAGAGGAGAUCAAUUCCCUUGCUUUUCCAGCUUCUAGAAGCCACCUGUGUUCUUUGACCCAUGGCCCCCUUUCAAUGUCAAGGCCAGCGACGCCCUGGAGUCUGACGCCACUCCUGCUGUCUUGCCUCCCUUUCCACACUGAAUAGAGCCUUGUGAUGACACUGGGCCCACCCAGAUAACCCAGGAUCGUCUCUCAUCUCAAGAUCCCUACUUUACUCACCUCUGCAAAAUCCCUUUGGCCAUGGAAGGCUGCUGCGUGGUCUCUGGCGUGAGUCAGGCAACCAGGUUGGCUACCACGACAAGAUGCAAAAUAACAGUGACGUAGACAUGGGGAGAUUUUAGUCGUUGCUCAACAAAUACAGUCUCUUCCUCACCAACGUGUAAGUUCCAGAGGUCAAGGAUGGUGCCUGCGUGGAAUCCCUGUGUGUCCCAGGAACACGCACCUGGUCAAUGAAUAAAUGAAUGAGCCAUGCAUGCUUGCAGGUGUUUGUGGAGUGUUUGUUACUGGGCACACUUGUUGCUGGGAUACACAGCUGAGCAAAACACAACCGGAUCCUCCUGCACAUUGCUUACAGGGAGACAAACUUUGCUCAUAUAAUCACUCCUGAACAAGCAGAAUCCAGUACACAGGUGGGCCCUGUGGAAGCACCGUCAAGGCCUUGCUGCAUGCCCUGUUAGGAGGAAGGCCCUGCCACCCCACACUGCCCCAAAGGAACACUUCCGGGAUAGUGCAAGCAUUCCUGGGAUCUUCCUGGGCCCACGGCGCUGGGACCCUGCCCCAGACUCCACUGCUCACAUUGUCACGAGCCGCAGCCCUCUCUGUGUGCCCACAACACCGGUUCUCAACUGGGCACAGCUCCUUCUCCUGGCUUUGCCUGGGCUGUGCUUUACACCUGAAGUGGAACCCCUGCCCUUCCAUCCUGCUCUCCUUCGAGGCCUGCAGAUGCCAUGUCCUCCACACCUGAGGAUUCUGGAGGCCGGCAGGGCUUCUGGACAAAUCUGAGCACUUGCACUCUGGAGGCCCUGCCACAGUGGCUACUGCCCACCACGGACGAUUCUGUAGACCCUGCUUAGAAGAGACUGGCCAUCCAGAACAGCUCUGCUCCCACCCGGAGACUCAAGACUCCGCUCAGGAGUUCAGACUGUCUGGCAGCAGCUGUGGACUGCAGGGGUGAUGGCCGUGGCUGGCACCUGAGGCUGCAGCUCUCAAGACCUUGGUCCGAAGGAUGGGGGCUUCCACUCCCAACUGUGAGCUCACUUGCUGGGAAACUUGCCACACCCAGUGUCUGGACAUCAGAUGAACUUGCAGCCUCUUCCUUCCUUUCCCUUUCCGGUAUUUUAUUGGUGGAGGGCCAUGGGCAUCAGACAUGUGGGUUUUGGGGAGGGAGGUAACGGCAGAGUGGGGUUGGUGAGUAUCAGCCCCUCCUGCGAGCUGUGGGUGCUGCUGUGUGUUAGACAUCCCUGCUAGCUCCCUGUCCCACAUGAGCCCCCGGGUCCUCACUGGGCACUGGCCUCAUUCUCUUCUGGGAUCUCCCAGGCCCUGCACACAGUAAGUGGGCAGCACACAGUCACGAUGGCCACUUUUAACCCCACCGCCUUGAUCAAGACCUGGAGAGCUGGGGCAUCAGAGCGGGGGUCGACAGACUCGGAGGCCAACUGGCCUGGGGUUGAGCUAUUGUUGCCGACAUGGAACCCGAUCCAGUGAUUAAUGGGUCCAGGAAAUGAUCCCUAGCUCAGCUGGCCAGUCCGGGCAGCCUGGCAGCACGGGCCCACGCG
Molecule: long non-coding RNA, 3894 nt
Organism: Homo sapiens (human)
Lineage: Eukaryota; Metazoa; Chordata; Mammalia; Primates; Hominidae
Exons: 6
Source: RefSeq, a predicted model, not a curated record